CCUCUUGCUGCCUGAAGGUCGGUCCUGGUUCCCUGAGGCAGCAGUGAUCAGCAGAGACCUGCCUUGUCUUACAGCUUUUCCUCCAAGAUCAGCUCAGCACGGGCCCUGUGACUGAUGUAGGAGCCACUAACCAAAAUGAUGAGGCACGGUCCAGACCUUGAACCAUGUCCACUGUACACAGGAAAGUUCCUUAGAGCUGCUGGGGCCGUGGUCCCCUGGCUGUGCCCGCUUUCCUGUGGGUCACUUUCUUCUACAAAGAGCUGUCAACAUAAGAAGCCUGCUGCUCAGAAGGUGUAAACACACCGCCCCGUUGCCCUGAGAACGGACUGCCUCAGCUAGGCUGUGCUGAAAGGCUACGUGGAAAUAUUUCAUAAUUCAAGGGAGAUGUCAAGGCAUGGAUUGGAUCCUCCAAAACCUCUGCCAUGUCCUCCUGUCCCAUGAUGUCCUUUCCAACCAGUAACUCCCUGCACCUCAAAUCAGGCCUUCUUUGCAAUGCAUUUUACCAUCUUUCUGUCGCUUGCCCCCCCAACCAGAAGAACUGUUUCCUACAGAAAACCCAUAAUGUGGAUCAUGGCUUUUGAUUAAUAGAUCCGUACAUUCUUUAUGCCUGAAUGCAUGCCAUAAUUUAUGAGUAACAACAAGGAUGUGUUCUCCAAAGAAAGUAAUACUUGACUAAAUUGUUCUCUUGACGUAAACCUGUAAUUUAAAAAUUAUAUAUAUUUAGAGUGCAAGUCAAAACAGGAAGUGCAUUCCCAAAGUGGAUAAAGAUAUUUCUGAACCUAAAUAUCUAGUGAUACAAAAUUGCCUUGAAAUGUCUCUCCCUUCCCUGCCUAACAAAACCAUCCCUUACCAAAUAAGCAUGCUAUUUAUGGGAGAGCUUUUCUGCCCAGGCAAGUUAGCUAUCGCUGUAUUUUUGAAUGGUGAGAGAGGACUUUCAUAGUUGCAGGCAGCCCAAAGAGCAUUCUGCCACUGGAAGCUAAAAGCAUAUCCAUCAAAAGCAAAGGAAAUCUGCCAUCAAGAAAGCAUUUAUGAAAGUUCAGAUAAGAAAGAAUGUAUCAGGGAAAAUCAAUACGAAUCAGUAACAGACAGCUAAAUAUCCAGUGGGAGAUUCAUCUAGCUAAAUGCAGUCCUUUUCAUCUUAGCUAACAGCUGUUGGCUCCCUUUGUAUCCCAUGGGGAGCUAGUCAGCCUGGGCAAGGGGGACCGGGCUGUGACACAUCUCAUGCUCAAGUAGAUGUCUAAAUAGGAAAGCAAGAAACAUGCUCAGGAGGUGCCUGCUUCUCUCCGUUAGAUAUAAGCCAUCUGGCAUGGCAGGUUUGGCUGCAGACAGCCACAAGGAGAACAUCAAAGUUAGGUGCCAUGAUGCUACGGCAGGUGUGAAUCUGGACAUUGGGGGAGAGAUAUUAACAGCAAAAUAAAACAGGUCCUGAGCAGAGGGGGGAAAAAGAG
This 1448-nucleotide long non-coding RNA is filed under the name Anas platyrhynchos platyrhynchos (common mallard). RNAcentral describes it as "lncRNA (ENSAPLG00000024696.1)". The record is from RNAcentral. Lineage: Eukaryota; Metazoa; Chordata; Aves; Anseriformes; Anatidae.